RNAcentral lists this transfer RNA (70 nucleotides) under Myotis davidii. It matches the Rfam family "tRNA". Rfam says of the family: Transfer RNA (tRNA) molecules are approximately 80 nucleotides in length. Their secondary structure includes four short double-helical elements and three loops (D, anti-codon, and T loops). Further hydrogen bonds mediate the characteristic L-shaped molecular structure. tRNAs have two regions of fundamental functional importance: the anti-codon, which is responsible for specific mRNA codon recognition, and the 3' end, to which the tRNAs corresponding amino acid is attached (by aminoacyl-tRNA synthetases). tRNAs cope with the degeneracy of the genetic code in two manners: having more than one tRNA (with a specific anti-codon) for a particular amino acid; and 'wobble' base-pairing, i.e. permitting non-standard base-pairing at the 3rd anti-codon position. The record is from Rfam by way of RNAcentral. Lineage: Eukaryota; Metazoa; Chordata; Mammalia; Chiroptera; Vespertilionidae.
ACCGGUUUGGCUCAGUGGAUAGAGCAUCGGCCUGCAGACUGAAAGAUGAGGGUUCCAGCCCUAACCGGUU